This 127-nucleotide small RNA is filed under the name Marmota monax (woodchuck). The record is from RNAcentral. Lineage: Eukaryota; Metazoa; Chordata; Mammalia; Rodentia; Sciuridae.
GCCAGGUGUGGUGGUGCAUGCCUAUAAUCCCAGCAAUUUGGGAGGUUGAGACAGGAGAAUCACAAAUUCAAGGCCAACUCCAGCAACUUAGCAAGGUCCUCAGCAAUUUAGUGAGACUCUGUCUCAA